GUGCUCACUUUGGCAGCACAGAUACUAAAACAGGAAUGAUACAGAGAAGAUUAGCAUGGCCCCUGCGCAAGAAUGACAAGCAAAUUUGUGAAGCAAUCCAUAUUUUU
RNAcentral lists this small nuclear RNA (107 nucleotides) under Jaculus jaculus (lesser Egyptian jerboa). The record is from RNAcentral. Lineage: Eukaryota; Metazoa; Chordata; Mammalia; Rodentia; Dipodidae.